This 253-nucleotide ribosomal RNA is filed under the name uncultured bacterium. RNAcentral describes it as "partial 16S ribosomal RNA". It matches the Rfam family "Bacterial small subunit ribosomal RNA", at positions 524 to 776 of the family's 1533-position model. The record is from RNAcentral.
UACGGAGGGUGCAAGCGUUGUCCGGAUUUAUUGGGUUUAAAGGGUGCGUAGGCGGCCCGCUAAGUCUGUGGUGAAAUCCCGGGGCUCAACCCCGGAACUGCCCUGGAUACUGGCGGGCUUGAGUUCGGUUGAGGCGGGCGGAACUGGCGGUGUAGCGGUGAAAUGCAUAGAUACCGCCAAGAACCCCGAUUGCGUAGGCAGCUCGCUGAGCCGAAACUGACGCUGAGGCACGAAAGCGUGGGGAGCGAACAGG